UUGCAAGAAAACAAUGGAAGGGUGUGGUACUACACGUUUCAAGCAACACCUUGCAUCGCAUGGGGGAACGUGCAAGGUUGUCGCAACGUUCCGUCGGACAAUUACUUUCGGCGGGAGCUUGACAAGGUCCAUGAUAAAAGGAAAGCAAGAAUAGCGGAAGAGGCACAAAAGUUGCAAGUGGCAGGUUCGCAUCGUGUUUCCGAUGAUGAUGAUGAUGAGUUACAGGCCGCAAUCCGUGCGUCGAGAGAGGAGGAGGAGCUUAGGAGGCGUGCUCGUGCGAGCGGUGCCUUGUAUGAGACGGGUGGUGGCUCGUCCCAAGGUGGUCUCUAUGCCGCGUUUGGGAGAAUAUGUUCUAGGAAGGAGAAGCCACAUAUGGUGCAAACAAGGAUUGAUGUGGGUCCGUUCUCUAAGGCAGGAAAGAAUGUGGUCCAUUGUUUUGGUCAGCAAUGGGCUAAGUGGUUCCAUGCGGAGGCGAUUCCAGGGCAUAAAGCUAACAUUCCAUAUUUCAUCAAUGCAUUCAGAGAGACACAAAAACAUGGUGAGUGUGGAUCCAAAGUUUAUCAUUGUCAAUCAAUGUCGUACAUUUCUCUCAUUCAUAUUGUACCUGACAAUCAGUACUUAGACGAGAAUGAGAAGGAAUUACAGGUUGAUUUCACGAAGUUCAAGGAGGACUAG
RNAcentral lists this unclassified non-coding RNA (675 nucleotides) under Zea mays. Its description in RNAcentral is "misc RNA Zm00001eb224400". Lineage: Eukaryota; Viridiplantae; Streptophyta; Magnoliopsida; Poales; Poaceae. The record is from RNAcentral.